CUUUAUUCUCCCCUUCUAGCUGAUGGCUGACCACACCACCAUGCAGCUGCUUACUUUUGGUAUUCUGAGCUUCUGCCUUUACGCCUGGAGCUUCUCGUUGACGUCUCUCCCUGGUCACACCGUUUACCUGAACUGCUCAGGUGCCAACAGCAGUGUCGGCCCAGCGAUGCUCUGGUACAGGCAGCUCCCCAGGCGGCCACCUCAACCCAUACUGCAAACCUUCAGCCCUGACCGUGCACUCCACUUCCCAUACUUUAAUUUCGGAGGACAUUUUCUCUCAAUGAAGAAUCACACUCUAGUCAUCCAGAACGUCACACAAGAAGACACUGCGACUUAUUACUGCUCACAGCUAGAGAGGGAGGUGUGCCGCUUCAGUGACGGGAUCGAGCUGCGAGUGGAUGGCUCAACGGAAAUGAGGGGGACACUUGAAGGGUGUGCCAUUGAGCCCCAAACCCCAUAUCCAAUAACACAAUCAUGGCUUCAGUUGAGUGUUGCCCGCUGCCUCCCGACUCUGACUCACCUACCUAAGGUCGAGCGGCCUCCUUUUAUCUUGGAGUACUUCCUGUGCUAG
Non-coding RNA from Erpetoichthys calabaricus (reedfish), 571 nucleotides. NCBI's taxonomy places the organism in Eukaryota, Metazoa, Chordata, Cladistia, Polypteriformes, Polypteridae. The record is from the annotation of a RefSeq genome assembly.